CAGCGCCACGAGUGGCAACCGCGAUUAUUGGGCCUAAAGCGUCCGUAGCCGGUUCAGCAAAUCUUUUGUGAAAUUGUACGGCUUAACCGUACAACGUGCAAGGGACACUACUGAACUUGAGACCGGGAGGAGUCAGAAGUAUUCCAGAGGGAGCGGUAAAAUGUUAUAAUCUCUGGAGGACUACCUGUGGCGAAGGCGUCUGACCAGAACGGAUCUGACGGUGAGGGACGAAAGCUAGGGGAGCGAACCGGAUUAGAUACCCGAGUAGUCC
This 271-nucleotide ribosomal RNA is filed under the name uncultured archaeon. RNAcentral's name for it is "partial 16S ribosomal RNA". It matches the Rfam family "Archaeal small subunit ribosomal RNA", at positions 477 to 747 of the family's 1478-position model. The record is from RNAcentral.